This is a long non-coding RNA of Podarcis raffonei (Aeolian wall lizard), 199 nucleotides long. RefSeq lists it as uncharacterized. The transcript is spliced from 2 exons. NCBI's taxonomy places the organism in Eukaryota, Metazoa, Chordata, Lepidosauria, Squamata, Lacertidae. The record is from RefSeq and is a predicted model, not a curated record.
UCUAGCAUUACAAGGAAUGUUGUAGUUGACUGCCUCUCAUGGAUCACAUCCCACAGUUCAGGCAGCUGCAGCUCAGCACCCAGAAAAACACAAAAAGAACAAGUUUGAAAUACCAGGUGCAUCCGAGGGAAACCCGACAGGGAUUGAUAUGUUAUAGCCCAGGACAUGAACCUAGCAAUAAAGAUAUCAUUUCGAUUGU